GCCAACAGCCACACCACCCUGAAAGCUCCCGAUUUUGUCUAAUCUCGGAAGUGAUCCAGGGCCGGGCCUGGUUAGUACUUGGAUGGGAGUCUGCCUGGGAAUACCAGGAGUCGUAGGCU
RNAcentral lists this ribosomal RNA (119 nucleotides) under Xenopus laevis (African clawed frog). Lineage: Eukaryota; Metazoa; Chordata; Amphibia; Anura; Pipidae. The record is from RNAcentral.